Molecule: ribosomal RNA, 253 nt
Filed under: uncultured bacterium
Lineage: Bacteria
Description: partial 16S ribosomal RNA
Rfam family: Bacterial small subunit ribosomal RNA
Source: RNAcentral
UACGGAGGAUCCAAGCGUUAUCCGGAUUUAUUGGGUUUAAAGGGUGCGUAGGCGGCUUAUUAAGUCAGUGGUGAAAGCCUUCAGCUUAACUGAAGAAUUGCCAUUGAUACUGAUGAGCUUGAAUAUACUUGAGGUGGGCGGAAUGUGUCAUGUAGCGGUGAAAUGCUUAGAUAUGACACAGAACACCGAUUGCGAAGGCAGCUCGCUAAAGUAUGAUUGACGCUGAUGCACGAAAGCGUGGGGAGCAAACAGG